UGCCGGCUCUGGUCCUGCGCCAGAGCUGACAUCCAGCAGACUUUGCUCUCCGGUGCCAGCAGCUGAGCGGCAAGGAGCGCUCCGGGACCCGGCUCGCCCAGCCUGCGGCGUUCUGGGCUGCGAGCUGCCCGGUGGAAGUCACGGCUGAGGAGAGCUCCUGUAAACAGCCUUACCUGCUCCUCACUGCCUGCCAAGUGUCGAGUGCUACUCGGUAAAACCCUCUUCCCAGAGAGCCUCCGGUCUGUUUCCUUGCAUAGCCGAUGCAUUGGGGAAUAUUUGUACAAGUGAUGGUUAUUCCUGCACCUCCUCAGAUGCCCUCUCCUCUCCUGCCUUCCAGAGCAUUGCUCUUUGCAUCUCAGUGGAUUUAUUCUCCUCCUUAUCUAAUUUUAAUUAAAGCUCCUAUCUCCCCCCACCACAUAAUCAACUGAAGAAAAAUGAGCUGGAGCAGCAUUAAAGUUUUAUCUGCUAAAUAAAUAUUGCCAGGCUAAGCUAAUAUACAAAGCAGGUCUGGAAAAAUUACAACCAUGAAGAAGGCACAGAAUCCAGCUGAAGAGCUCUGCUGUUCAACGGGAUGAUGAUCAACACUGGAGCUACAGCAGCAGCUCAAGGGACUCCAGCCCUGCUGGAGCAGGACAGGACCCAGUGGCAGCCUGACAUUGCCCCAGAGGCUUCUUAACUCCUGGAUAACUUCAUCCUCAGCUGCUGAAGGUAAUGGGAGGUGGACCAGUCCUUCAAGUAACUUCACCUAAAUAAUUCCUGAGUAGGCUUUAAGCUCUGCAGCAAUUUGAAAACUGAAUCCAGGAAAACAGUCACUCCAGAAAGCAAAAUCACUCCCAGUUUUCCUUUCAGACUGGCUCUGCUGCCCUUUUUACCCUGAAACACCACCCUCUACAGAGCCACAGCAGUAUUUACUGACACGAGAUAUGCAUGGGAGUUCACAGAAUCAUGGAAUCUCCUGCAUUGGAAGAGACCCACAAGCAUCAAGUCCAUCUCCUGACCCUGCACAGGACAGCCCCAGAAUCACAGAGUGUUCCUGAGAGCAUUAUUCAAAUGCUUCUUGAGCCCUGUCAGGCUUGGUGCUGUGACCAUUUCCCUGAGGAACCUGUUCCGGUGCCCAGCUCCCCUCUGGGUUUGGGAAGCCCACUUGGAGUCCUGCAGCACCUCUCUGCAGCCCUGCCUCACCUGUGGGGAGCUAAUCCAGCUGCUGGGAGUCUGGCAGAGGGCAGGACUGAUCCUGUGCGACACAAAUGCAUUUCUGUGCUUGGACUCUGAAGGACAGCUCUCCUGGCUGGGUUAAGACUGUGCUGCCAGCAGUAGGAGAGUGAGCAGGCUAGCCAGCCACAUAUACUGGGUUAUGUUUCUGGGCUAAACUCCAGAGCCUUCAAUUUUAUUAUCUAAUUACCCAACCAAACUCAUUCAUCUUUAUUUUUCAGUCUUUCCCACAGAUCCCAGUUAAAAUGCAGCUUUGCUAUCUGAAGUGCUGCCCAGGCACUCUCUGCUUGGAAAAAUUCAUGGUUUCUCAGCUUUAUUCACUCAGACUGUGUUUUCUUAGUGUAAAGGAUGAAUGGCAGAAAUCCCAGCCCUGAUCAGCAGCAGAGGUCUACAUCAGGCUGUGCUGAGAGGAAGGUGGCUGCAUUGUCACGGGCAGCUGUACCAGGGGAAGCAAGAGAAAGAAAAUAAGCCUCUGCUUAAAUGUAGGCUUCAUCCCCAGUGUGACAUGUCAUUAGAUUGCACUCAGGGCUUUGUGGCAUGGCUCACUGCAAUGUCUUCAUUGCAAAGUAUAAACACCAAGAGUUAGUAAAUAAAAGCAACAGGGGGAAAAACUGCUCUCUAGAAAUUAAUGAAACAUCAGGAAUACAUCCCUGGACAAUGGAGUCCAAGGGGGAAAAAUACUGGUGUCCCAUCCUUUUUCUCUGCAGGACAUGAGCCCUCCUCUCCAUAUGUUACUGUCGUGUAGAUGUAAUCCGUGUCCCAUGCUGGGGCAGAGGCUCCUGCUUAGCAUAACCCUGCCCCUGGGAGGGGCUUAUCUUGAAAAUAUACUGUCUUUUCUGUGCUCCUUGCCUUUAUUUCCUAAGGGAAUGCACAUGCUGGCAGGUUCAGGGGGCAUUCAGAUACGGUAAAUGCUACAAAGCAGAAAAGCUUCCCGCAGACCUCACAGUAUUUCUGUUUGCUCUCCAGGUGGCAAGGACUGGGCAGGGGGAGAGAGGGGAGAGGUGGCAGAUGCUGUGGAGCAUGAGGCUGCUGUCUUGCCAGCUUGCUUUGGUCUGAGGGAGGAGACGUGGGAGGGAAGCCCUCAUGCAGCUUUUCUCCCUCUGAGACCCCUUGCAGACAGAGUCCUCCUGGUGCUGCUUCCCAGCCCCAGCAGGAAACCCACUGGAUUUGGGGGGCUGUGCCUCAUGGAGGGCUGGGGCAGAGGCACAGAUGCUUUUGUUCAGUCUGCCCUCCUGCCCAUCAGCAGCCAGCAGAGCCAGGAUGAGCACAGCAGGAACAUGCAGGAAAUGUUGGUACUGUGCUGUGCCCAGCUGUGCCAUGCAAAGAGAGCAGGACCUGCUCAGCAGGGCAGUGAAGCUGAAGAAGUUCCUGUGUUGCAGCCCAGGCAGGUGUGUGAUGGGAAGGACAAGUCGAAAUUCAUGGUGAAGGAAGGAACCUUCUGGAGCAGAGCGUAGCAAGACACCGAGUACACCAAGCGGAAGGGAAAAUGGAGAUGGGUUUGGUCAGGGGAAGGGAAUGAGCAUUGUCAGGGAGAGCUACUGCCUGUGGUGAUGGAGUGCUGAACCCUCAGAGUGCCUGGUAAAAUCCCAUCCAGCUCCUAGGGAGUGCUGUGCUCUUGCAGGCUUCACUCAUGGACUCCUUCACAUGAGGCCACAAUUCCACUCAUCCUGCACCCCUGGUGGCACCUCUGGUACUUCUCACGUUAGCUCUACCUGCUCGGCUUUCUCCAACCACACACCAGCUGACUUCAUCUUCCCAGGUGUUUCUUAUGAUCUCUCCCAUUCUAGCUUUUACCCUUGACCACAAGCAGCACUUGGAACAAUUAACACCUUGUGCUCCUACCAUCUUAUGGUUUACAAGGCAGCUGGUUACUAGGGCAACAACUGCACCUUUUUCUUUCAGUGUAUUGACUGAAAAUCAACAUUUUAUAUUAAAGGAAAAGAAAAAUAAUAUUCUCUCAAGCCACAGUGAGUUACAACACCAUCUCUCCUGUAAUCAAGAUAUUGCUGAAUUAUGGUGCUAUAAACAAACACUUCUGAUAUAACCACAAACACUGUGGGACAUGUAACACAUUGGCAGUAUAUUUCAAGUGACAAACUCAUUUAUUGUGGGGAGUGGAGGGAGAAAAACACCUUUCCAGGAGCCACAGCAAGGAAUUACAGCGAAGAAUGACCAGAGCUUAAGGGUACAGGCACAAAGUAAUUCUAACACCCUGGCUGGAAUAAAGCACUUCGAAGUAUGAACAAGAUUAGAGCAGCACCAGCAGUAC
Molecule: long non-coding RNA, 3481 nt
Organism: Pyrgilauda ruficollis (rufous-necked snowfinch)
Lineage: Eukaryota; Metazoa; Chordata; Aves; Passeriformes; Passeridae
Exons: 5
Source: RefSeq, a predicted model, not a curated record